RNAcentral lists this ribosomal RNA (1489 nucleotides) under Shigella sonnei. Its description in RNAcentral is "partial 23S ribosomal RNA". It matches the Rfam family "Bacterial large subunit ribosomal RNA", at positions 1473 to 2925 of the family's 2925-position model. The record is from RNAcentral. Lineage: Bacteria; Pseudomonadati; Pseudomonadota; Gammaproteobacteria; Enterobacterales; Enterobacteriaceae.
CGGAGAAGGCUAUGUUGGCCGGGCGACGGUUGUCCCGGUUUAAGCGUGUAGGCUGGUUUUCCAGGCAAAUCCGGAAAAUCAAGGCUGAGGCGUGAUGACGAGGCACUACGGUGCUGAAGCAACAAAUGCCCUGCUUCCAGGAAAAGCCUCUAAGCAUCAGGUAACAUCAAAUCGUACCCCAAACCGACACAGGUGGUCAGGUAGAGAAUACCAAGGCGCUUGAGAGAACUCGGGUGAAGGAACUAGGCAAAAUGGUGCCGUAACUUCGGGAGAAGGCACGCUGAUAUGUAGGUGAAGUCCCUUGCGGAUGGAGCUGAAAUCAGUCGAAGAUACCAGCUGGCUGCAACUGUUUAUUAAAAACACAGCACUGUGCAAACACGAAAGUGGACGUAUACGGUGUGACGCCUGCCCGGUGCCGGAAGGUUAAUUGAUGGGGUCAGCGCAAGCGAAGCUCUUGAUCGAAGCCCCGGUAAACGGCGGCCGUAACUAUAACGGUCCUAAGGUAGCGAAAUUCCUUGUCGGGUAAGUUCCGACCUGCACGAAUGGCGUAAUGAUGGCCAGGCUGUCUCCACCCGAGACUCAGUGAAAUUGAACUCGCUGUGAAGAUGCAGUGUACCCGCGGCAAGACGGAAAGACCCCGUGAACCUUUACUAUAGCUUGACACUGAACAUUGAGCCUUGAUGUGUAGGAUAGGUGGGAGGCUUUGAAGUGUGGACGCCAGUCUGCAUGGAGCCGGCCUUGAAAUACCACCCUUUAAUGUUUGAUGUUCUAACGUGGACCCGUGAUCCGGGUUGCGGACAGUGUCUGGUGGGUAGUUUGACUGGGGCGGUCUCCUCCUAAAGAGUAACGGAGGAGCACGAAGGUUGGCUAAUCCUGGUCGGACAUCAGGAGGUUAGUGCAAUGGCAUAAGCCAGCUUGACUGCGAGCGUGACGGCGCGAGCAGGUGCGAAAGCAGGUCAUAGUGAUCCGGUGGUUCUGAAUGGAAGGGCCAUCGCUCAACGGAUAAAAGGUACUCCGGGGAUAACAGGCUGAUACCGCCCAAGAGUUCAUAUCGACGGCGGUGUUUGGCACCUCGAUGUCGGCUCAUCACAUCCUGGGGCUGAAGUAGGUCCCAAGGGUAUGGCUGUUCGCCAUUUAAAGUGGUACGCGAGCUGGGUUUAGAACGUCGUGAGACAGUUCGGUCCCUAUCUGCCGUGGGCGCUGGAGAACUGAGGGGGGCUGCUCCUAGUACGAGAGGACCGGAGUGGACGCAUCACUGGUGUUCGGGUUGUCAUGCCAAUGGCACUGCCCGGUAGCUAAAUGCGGAAGAGAUAAGUGCUGAAAGCAUCUAAGCACGAAACUUGCCCCGAGAUGAGUUCUCCCUGACCCUUUAAGGGUCCUGAAGGAACGUUGAAGACGACGACGUUGAUAGGCCGGGUGUGUAAGCGCAGCGAUGCGUUGAGCUAACCGGUACUAAUGAACCGUGAGGCUUAACCUUACAACGCCGAAG